RNAcentral lists this ribosomal RNA (515 nucleotides) under uncultured bacterium. RNAcentral describes it as "partial 16S ribosomal RNA". It matches the Rfam family "Bacterial small subunit ribosomal RNA", at positions 28 to 523 of the family's 1533-position model. The record is from RNAcentral.
GAUGAACGCUGGCGGCGUGCCUAAUACAUGCAAGUCGAGCGAAUGGAUUAAGAGCUUGCUCUUAUGAAGUUAGCGGCGGACGGGUGAGUAACACGUGGGUAACCUGCCCAUAAGACUAGGAUAACUCCGGGAAACCGGGGCUAAUACCGGAUAACAUUUUGAACCGCAUGGUUCGAAAUUGAAAGGCGGCUCCGGCUGUCACUUAUGGAUGGACCCGCGUCGCAUUAGCUAGUUGGUGAGGUAACGGCCCACCAAGGCAACGAUGCGUAGCCGACCUGAGAGGGUGAUCGGCCACACUGGGACUGAGACACGGCCCAGACUCCUACGGGAGGCAGCAGUAGGGAACCUUCCGCAAUGGACGAAAGUCUGACGGAGCAACGCCGCGUGAGUGAUGAAGGCUUUCGGGUCGUAAAACUCUGUUGUUAGGGAAGAACAAGUGCUAGUUGAAUAAGCUGGCACCUUGACGGUACCUAACCAGAAAGCCACGGCUAACUACGUGCCAGCCGCCGCAGUAA